UUAUUUGGUCGGCAACACCGUUUCCACUUUGACGCUUUGCUUUGUUAUUAUUCGUUGAAAAUCUUUUAUCUGUUUGUAAACAUUCAAGUCGAUUAUGUCUUACAUAUGGUGAUAGUCGAUUAUUUGGAGUCGGCUUUCUGCUGCAGAAAACCCCCGGUUUGUGAAUUUUCAUACACGUUUUUAUAGCAGCGUUUUUGCAAAUAUAAUAGAGACCACCUUACAUACAAUACAUAAACUACAGUUAGACUUCACAGACGAGCAAUUGCUGCGGAAGGUGUGUGUUGAAGAGCUAGGUGGCCCAACUAUUGUGGUUUUUAGAAACGAAAGCACGUAUGCACGUAUUUCUACCAUUGUCUCAUGUGGUGCUACGGACAAUUUCAUAGGAGACAUGGAGCGUGUUGUGUAUGAUGGUGCAAAUACCUGUUUAACAUGUGACGGUCAUUAUGUGCCUAGUACUGCUACCUCUGAAAUCAAUUUGACUUCCGAACUGGCUGUCCACGUCGAUACCUUACCCCAUCUAGAUCAAUAUGCUGUACGUAGAUGUAUGCGCAACACCUACACGAGCAAGUCCUCGCGCUUUAAGUCUACAAUUACAGAUAAGUUGUAAUGAUAUAUUUGUGAGUUAUUUUUAAGUUUUUGGUUUACAGGUUUUUGAUUUCUGCCUGAAGUAAGUGCAGUGUUCCAACACCUAUACGAGCAAGUGCACCCACAUUCCUCAUAUUUCCUCUCCGAUUCAUUACUGAGACACGUGGUAUUGAUAUACGUAAAUUUACAAACCAUCAGAAUUACUAAAAGUGGAUUAUAUUACCAACAUCUAAAAUUUUUCGAUGUAUUGGUUUUAGUCUAUAUUAAUACAUUUUCCUAUUAAUAUUAGGGACGCAAAGUAUAUUAAAGUACACAAAUUUUAAACUAUAAACUAGUAAAUUUGUAAUUUUUAUUGCAAACUAUUUUAACUUCUAAUUUCAAUUUUUUUCUUAUAUUUAGAAAUGAUCGACUGAAACUAUUUUAACUUCUAAUUUCAAUUUUUUUCU
Molecule: long non-coding RNA, 1031 nt
Organism: Anastrepha ludens (Mexican fruit fly)
Lineage: Eukaryota; Metazoa; Arthropoda; Insecta; Diptera; Tephritidae
Exons: 4
Source: RefSeq, a predicted model, not a curated record